UUUGGGAGGCCAAGGCAGGAAGAUCGCUGGAGGCUAGGAGUUUGAGACCAGGCUGGGCAACAUAGUGAGACCUCCAUCUCUACAAAAA
RNAcentral lists this microRNA precursor (88 nucleotides) under Chlorocebus sabaeus (green monkey). RNAcentral describes it as "miRNA (ENSCSAG00000027902.1)". Lineage: Eukaryota; Metazoa; Chordata; Mammalia; Primates; Cercopithecidae. The record is from RNAcentral.